CCUACGGGAGGCAGCAGUGGGGAAUCUUGCGCAAUGGGCGAAAGCCUGACGCAGCAACGCCGCGUGAGGGACGAAGGUUUUCUGAAUUGUAAACCUCUUUCAGCAGGGAAGAUAAUGACGGUACCUGCAGAAGAAGCACCGGCUAACUACGUGCCAGCAGCCGCGGUGAUACGUAGGGUGCAAGCGUUGUCCGGAUUUAUUGGGCGUAAAGAGCUCGUAGGCGGUUUGGUAAGUCGGUUGUGAAAUCCCCAGGCUCAACCUGGGGCCUGCAUUCGAUACUGCCAUGACUAGAGUUUGGUAGGGGACCACGGAAUUCCUGGUGUAGCGGUGGAAUGCGCAGAUAUCAGGAGGAACACCAGUAGCGAAGGCGGUGGUCUGGGCCAAUACUGACGCUGAGGAGCGAAAGCGUGGGGAGCAAACAGGAUUAGAUACCCUGGCAGUCCACGCCGUAAACGGUGGGCACUAGGUGUGGGGACUAUUCAACGGUUUCCGCGCCGACGCUAACGCAUUAAGUGCCCCGCCUGGGGNGACGCGCAGACGAACACAAGAUAGAGCGNGAGAGUGCGAGCGACGACGAGGAGAGG
RNAcentral lists this ribosomal RNA (584 nucleotides) under uncultured bacterium. Its description in RNAcentral is "bacterial SSU rRNA". The stretch from base 1 to 522 matches the Rfam family "Bacterial small subunit ribosomal RNA", at positions 338 to 873 of the family's 1533-position model. The record is from RNAcentral.